AGUCGACGAGAGGACAUGGGAAGCUUGCUUCCUAUGAAAUCGAGUGGCAAACGGGUGAGUAACGCGUAAACAACCUGCCCUUCGGAUGGGGAUAACAGCCGGAAACGGCUGCUAAUACCGAAUACGAUCUUUUCGUCGCAUGACGGAAAGAAGAAAGGAUGGCCUCUAUACAAAGCUAUCGCCGAAGGAGGGGUUUGCGUCUGAUUAGCUGGUUGGAGGGGUAACGGCCCAACAAGGCGAUGAUCAGUAGCCGGUCUGAGAGGAUGAACGGCCACAUUGGGACUGAGACACGGCCCAGACUCCUACGGGAGGCAGCAGUGGGGAAUCUUCCGCAAUGGACGAAAGUCUGACGGAGCAACGCCGCGUGAGUGAAGAAGGUCUUCGGAUUGUAAAGCUCUGUUAUACGGGACGAAAAAGACGGAUGCCAACAGUAUCCGUCCGUGACGGUACCGUAAGAGAAAGCCACGGCUAACUACGUGCCAGCAGCCGCGGUAAUACGUAGGUGGCAAGCGUUGUCCGGAAUUAUUGGGCGUAAAGGGCGCGCAGGCGGUUCGGUAAGUCUGUCUUAAAAGUGCGGGGCUUAACCCCGUGAGGGGACGGAAACUGUCGAACUUGAGUGUCGGAGAGGAAAGCGGAAUUCCUA
RNAcentral lists this ribosomal RNA (643 nucleotides) under uncultured bacterium. Its description in RNAcentral is "bacterial SSU rRNA". It matches the Rfam family "Bacterial small subunit ribosomal RNA", at positions 60 to 672 of the family's 1533-position model. The record is from RNAcentral.